GUGCUCGCUUCGGCAGCACGUAUACUAAAAUAGCAACUAUAUGCAGAUUAGCAUGGCCCCUGCACAAGGGUGACACGCAAAUGAGGGAAACGGUCCAUAUUUGG
Molecule: small nuclear RNA, 104 nt
Filed under: Tupaia belangeri (northern tree shrew)
Lineage: Eukaryota; Metazoa; Chordata; Mammalia; Scandentia; Tupaiidae
Source: RNAcentral